This is a long non-coding RNA of Manduca sexta (tobacco hornworm), 861 nucleotides long. RefSeq lists it as uncharacterized. The transcript has 2 exons. The record is from RefSeq and is a predicted model, not a curated record. NCBI's taxonomy places the organism in Eukaryota, Metazoa, Arthropoda, Insecta, Lepidoptera, Sphingidae.
UACAAUUUCUUUUGACAGUUUGCUUAGAUAUUGUAUUACAAAAAAGAAGCCGGCGGUAAUCGCGUUAUAUGGACCUUUCGCUACUGGUGGGUGCUCCUUGUCAAUGUUUCGUUUAUCAAAAUCAUAAUUAUCAUAAAAAACUUUUCAAAAAAGUUGUUUGUAGCAGAACGGUUUUAUAUUAGGAAUCGUACUUUAGCAUUACAUUGGCUUUUAAAUCUUCGAGCUAUUUCUUUACACACAGGGCCGUCUCUGACCUUCGUAAGGUCAAAUAUUAAUCUUUUCAUGUGUUCAACUAUUUAUACACAAAAUGUUAUCUUCGAACGACGAAGUUCAGCGCUCCUUUAUCUUAGAGAUAAUAUUUGUUAUGAGAGAGGGAAAUUCGUGCAAAUACCCACGUCGCGAACACACGUAAUAGUUGUUGGUUUGAAUACAAUAAUGUAAAUCACAUUGUACGACGAAAGGAGUACUUGCGUAGCAUCAUGAAUUUGGAAUUAAAAAAUUGCUAACCCUACAUGAAUGUUUACCCGCCCUGGCAGAAUGUUCAGCGUAGAGUCUAUCUCAUCUCAUCAGCCUACGACUGUCCACUGCUGAACAUAGGCCUCCCCUAGAGCGCGCCACGUUGCUCGGUCCUCUGCUCUCCUCAUCCAGCGUCCACCGGCGAUCCUGCAAAUGUCGUUGGAGCAGCGGCUCGGAAUUCGUCCUACGCUAUGCUUACCGAGACGCGGUCUCCACUCUAGGACUCGGCUGCUCCAGCGGCCAUCGGUCCUACAACAGAUAUGGCCAGCCCACUGCCACUUCAGCUGACUUAUUCUCCAAGUCUAUAAUAGUCUAUGAAUUAAAAAAGCUUAAUAGAAUUCAGAA